UACGUAGGGGGCAAGCGUUAUCCGGAUUUACUGGGUGUAAAGGGGGCGCAGACGGCGAUGCAAGCCAGGAGUGAAAGCCCGGGGCCCAACCCCGGGACUGCUCUUGGAACUGCGUGGCUGGAGUGCAGGAGGGGCAGGCGGAAUUCCUGGUGUAGCGGUGGAAUGCGUAGAUAUCAGGAGGAACACCGGUGGCGGAGGCGGCCUGCUGGACUGCAACUGACGUUGAGGCCCGAAAGCGUGGGGAGCAAACAGG
This 253-nucleotide ribosomal RNA is filed under the name uncultured bacterium. RNAcentral's name for it is "partial 16S ribosomal RNA". It matches the Rfam family "Bacterial small subunit ribosomal RNA", at positions 524 to 776 of the family's 1533-position model. The record is from RNAcentral.